This 71-nucleotide transfer RNA is filed under the name Candida frijolesensis. RNAcentral's name for it is "tRNA-His". It matches the Rfam family "tRNA". From Rfam's summary of the family: Transfer RNA (tRNA) molecules are approximately 80 nucleotides in length. Their secondary structure includes four short double-helical elements and three loops (D, anti-codon, and T loops). Lineage: Eukaryota; Fungi; Ascomycota; Pichiomycetes; Serinales; Debaryomycetaceae. The record is from RNAcentral.
GUAACUAUAAUUUAAUGGUAAAAUCUCCGUAUGUGGAACGGUCCAUCUGAGUUCAAUUCUCAGUAGUUACC